GCAGUCGAGCGGAGAUGAGGUGCUUGCACCUUAUCUUAGCGGCGGACGGGUGAGUAAUGCUUAGGAAUCUGCCUAUUAGUGGGGGACAACAUUCCGAAAGGAAUGCUAAUACCGCAUACGUCCUACGGGAGAAAGCAGGGGAUCUUCGGACCUUGCGCUAAUAGAUGAGCCUAAGUCGGAUUAGCUAGUUGGUGGGGUAAAGGCCUACCAAGGCGACGAUCUGUAGCGGGUCUGAGAGGAUGAUCCGCCACACUGGGACUGAGACACGGCCCAGACUCCUACGGGAGGCAGCAGUGGGGAAUAUUGGACAAUGGGGGGAACCCUGAUCCAGCCAUGCCGCGUGUGUGAAGAAGGCCUUAUGGUUGUAAAGCACUUUAAGCGAGGAGGAGGCUACUGAGACUAAUACUCUUGGAUAGUGGACGUUACUCGCAGAAUAAGCACCGGCUAACUCUGUGCCAGCAGCCGCGGUAAUACAGAGGGUGCGAGCGUUAAUCGGAUUUACUGGGCGUAAAGCGUGCGUAGGCGGCUUUUUAAGUCGGAUGUGAAAUCCCCGAGCUUAACUUGGGAAUUGCAUUCGAUACUGGGAAGCUAGAGUAUGGGAGAGGAUGGUAGAAUUCCAGGUGUAGCGGUGAAAUGCGUAGAGAUCUGGAGGAAUACCGAUGGCGAAGGCAGCCAUCUGGCCUAAUACUGACGCUGAGGUACGAAAGCAUGGGGAGCAAACAGGAUUAGAUACCCUGGUAGUCCAUGCCGUAAACGAUGUCUACUAGCCGUUGGGGCCUUUGAGGCUUUAGUGGCGCAGCUAACGCGAUAAGUAGACCGCCUGGGGAGUACGGUCGCAAGACUAAAACUCAAAUGAAUUGACGGGGGCCCGCACAAGCGGUGGAGCAUGUGGUUUAAUUCGAUGCAACGCGAAGAACCUUACCUGGCCUUGACAUACUAGAAACUUUCCAGAGAUGGAUUGGUGCCUUCGGGAAUCUAGAUACAGGUGCUGCAUGGCUGUCGUCAGCUC
RNAcentral lists this ribosomal RNA (1009 nucleotides) under Acinetobacter junii. RNAcentral describes it as "bacterial SSU rRNA". It matches the Rfam family "Bacterial small subunit ribosomal RNA", at positions 57 to 1061 of the family's 1533-position model. The record is from RNAcentral. Lineage: Bacteria; Pseudomonadati; Pseudomonadota; Gammaproteobacteria; Moraxellales; Moraxellaceae.